Non-coding RNA from Microcebus murinus (gray mouse lemur), 928 nucleotides. Lineage: Eukaryota; Metazoa; Chordata; Mammalia; Primates; Cheirogaleidae. The record is from RefSeq and is a predicted model, not a curated record.
UCAACAAGACAACAUAACAAUUCUAAAUAUUUAUGCACCUAACACAGGAGUACCCAGAUUCAUAAAGCAAACCCUACUAGAUCUAGACAAAGAUAUAAACAGCAUCCUAAUUGCCAGGGACUUCAGUACUCCAUUGACAGAACUGGAUGGAUCAUCCAGGUAGAAAAUAAUCAAACACUGGAGUUAGAAGGGACUCUAGAGCAAAUGGGCCUAACAGACAUUUACAGAAUAUUUUACCUAAAAACUACCAAAUAGAGUCGCGAGCGAGGGACCCUGAGAUUGUACGACUGCACGAGCGAAGCAAUGCCUAAGUCAAAGGAACUUGUUUCUUCAAGCUCUUCUGGCAGUGAUUCUGACAGCGAAGCUGACAAAAAGUUAAAGAGGAAAAAGCAAGUUGCUCCAGAAAAACCUGUGAAGAAGCAAAAAACUGGUGAAACUUCAAGAGCUCUGUCAUCUUCCAAGCAGAGCAGCAGCAGCAGAGAUGAUAACAUGUUUCAGAUUGGGAAAAUGAGGUAUGUUAGUGUUUUAAAGGGAAAGUUCUAAUUGAUAUUAGAGAAUAUUGGAUGGAUCCAGAAGGUGAAAUGAAACCAGGAAGAAAAGGUAUUUCUUUAAAUCCAGAGCAAUGGAGCCAGCUGAAGGAACAGAUUUCCGACAUUGAUGAUGCAGUAAGAAAACUGUAAAAUUCGAGCCAUAUAAAACCUGUACUGUUCUAGUUGUUUUAAUCUGUCUUUUUACAUUGGUUUUUGUUUUCUAAAUGUUGUUUUCCAAGCUAUUGUAUGUUUGGAUUGCAGAACAAUUUGUAAGAUGAAUACUUUUUUUUUUUAAUGUGCAUUAUUAAAAAUGUUCUGAGUGAAGCUAAUUGUCAUGUUUAUCAAGGAGGAUUGCUUUGUGCCCACCACCUAGUGUAAAAUAAAAUGGAAUAAUACAA